GGGGAUGUAGCUCAGUGGUAAAGUGCUUGCCUAGCAUGCAUGAGGCCCUUGGUUCAACCCCCAACACCACCA
Molecule: transfer RNA, 72 nt
Filed under: Heterocephalus glaber (naked mole-rat)
Lineage: Eukaryota; Metazoa; Chordata; Mammalia; Rodentia; Bathyergidae
Rfam family: tRNA
About the family: Transfer RNA (tRNA) molecules are approximately 80 nucleotides in length. Their secondary structure includes four short double-helical elements and three loops (D, anti-codon, and T loops).
Source: Rfam by way of RNAcentral